This is a non-coding RNA of Phthorimaea operculella (potato tuberworm), 75 nucleotides long. NCBI's taxonomy places the organism in Eukaryota, Metazoa, Arthropoda, Insecta, Lepidoptera, Gelechiidae. The record is from the annotation of a GenBank genome assembly.
GUGUCCCGAUGGUGUAGUGGAUAGUACCCCUGCCUUCUACGCCGAGGGUCGUGGGUUCGAUUCCCACUGGACACA